Molecule: ribosomal RNA, 253 nt
Filed under: uncultured bacterium
Lineage: Bacteria
Description: partial 16S ribosomal RNA
Rfam family: Bacterial small subunit ribosomal RNA
Source: RNAcentral
UACGUAGGCAGCAAGCGUUGUUCGGAAUUACUGGGCGUAAAGAGUGUGUAGGCGGUGCUCUAAGUUCGGUGUGAAAUCUCCCGGCUUAACUGGGAGGGUGCGCCGGAAACUGGAGUGCUCGAGCGUGGGAGAGGAAAGCGGAAUUCCUGGUGUAGCGGUGAAAUGCGUAGAUAUCAGGAGGAACACCUGCGGUGGAGACGGCUUUCUGGACCAUUGCUGACGCUGAGACACGAAAGCGUGGGUAGCAAACAGG